RNAcentral lists this transfer RNA (66 nucleotides) under Salmonella enterica subsp. enterica serovar Newport str. SHSN009. RNAcentral describes it as "tRNA-Lys". It matches the Rfam family "tRNA". Rfam says of the family: Transfer RNA (tRNA) molecules are approximately 80 nucleotides in length. Lineage: Bacteria; Pseudomonadati; Pseudomonadota; Gammaproteobacteria; Enterobacterales; Enterobacteriaceae. The record is from RNAcentral.
GGGUCGUUAGCUCAGUUGGUAGAGCAGUUGACUUUUAAUCAAUUGGUCAAAAAAAAAAACACAACA